UAGGGAAUCUUCCACAAUGGGCGCAAGCCUGAUGGAGCAACACCGCGUGAGUGAAGAAGGGUUUCGGCUCGUAAAGCUCUGUUGUUAAAGACGAACGUGGGUAAGAGUAACUGUUUACCCAGUGACGGUAUUUAACCAGAAAGCCACGGCUAACUACGUGCCAG
This 164-nucleotide ribosomal RNA is filed under the name uncultured bacterium. Its description in RNAcentral is "partial 16S ribosomal RNA". It matches the Rfam family "Bacterial small subunit ribosomal RNA", at positions 355 to 511 of the family's 1533-position model. The record is from RNAcentral.